This is a long non-coding RNA of Callithrix jacchus (white-tufted-ear marmoset), 5732 nucleotides long. RefSeq lists it as uncharacterized. The record is from RefSeq and is a predicted model, not a curated record. NCBI's taxonomy places the organism in Eukaryota, Metazoa, Chordata, Mammalia, Primates, Cebidae.
GGAGCCUGGGGAGGGGGCCCGGAGCCGCUCAUUACCCAGAGGAGGCUACUGCCAGGUCCAGGGGUCAGGGCCUUGCCUCUGCAGUCCUGGAGCUAGUGGGUCCCACCUCUCUGAGACCCCUUCCACAGAGGGAAGCGCAUGGCCCAAGGGCUGAAUGGCCUUCCAACUGCUGUGAGCCCCUCACUCCAUGAACGGAGUAAAUUUUCUUUCCCUCAUCCUCCUGACUCAGGUUAGCCCCUCCCCCAAGGACUAAGGGAGCCCCUCACCCCAUGACUGAGUGAAUUUUCUUUCCCUCAUCCUCCUGACCAGGUGAGCCCCCCGCCCCAGGACCGAGGGGGCCCCUCACCCCAUGACAGAGUGAACCCCUCAUCCCCCUGACCCAGGGCCAGGAGGGGACAGGUGCUACGGACUGCAUGGGCUCCUGAGGGUGGGGGUGCACCUCGAUCUGCCGGUCCUGGAAGACGCUGCAGAUGCUGCUGUUGAAGCUGGCUCCGGAGAACAUGGAUGUGACGGGGUAGGUGAGGUCUAGUACGGCCUUCAUCAUGGACGUCAUGCCCUGGGGGCACAUUUGUGGUUCACAGAAGGCUCCCACACAACCCUGUGAGCUGCCACAGCACACCCAUGGUGCACUGAGGGGCUCUUGUGAAUGAAACGGGGGUCCAGAGCGUCCUUGGGCCCUGCCCAAGGUCCUGAGGCUUGGUGCCCUGGCUGGAGCUUCAGAGGGGGCAGAGGCUAGUAGACAAGCCAGAGCCUGAAAACCAAGACACAGCCCUGCCCUCAGUCCCUUCUUGACCUCUAUGCCCCUGCUAGCCCGACCCUCACAGGCUCCGCAAGCCCCCCAUGCCUGGGGCCUCCUCGGCUUUGCCUGCUCAGCUCUGGGGCAAGGCCUGGCCCAGCCUCAUGGCCAGAGGGUUGACGAGGAGGAGAGCUCAGGGCGGGCUGCUGGGCACACAAGGUCCCCGGGCCAGGGGGACACAGUGGAGUGCUCUCAGGAAAGUCACAGCUGCUCAGCCCUGGCUUACAUGCCACUGUGGCAAUCCAUCGGGGUGCCAGGGAUGCCUGGCUCUUUUGAGUUCCUUCUGGGUGGGCCUGGGUGGGGCCCAUCCUUCCUCAGUGAGGCGGGCAGCACUCAAGACUGACCUCGAACUAGGCUCACAAUGCCCAGCGAGGGUGAAGGGGAAGGGUCUUCCCUGCUGCGGUGAGCCAGGGCUCAGGGGACGAAGGCCAGGAGGGAGGCGCUUGGAGCGUGGGCUGUGUGAUGCGGGCAGGAAGAACACCUCAGCCACAGGCAGAGGCAGCCCCGGUCCUCCCCUGAGGAAGCCCCUGCCCAGCACCAGAGGGUCUCAUGGAACUGAGCCAGACCCCAGCACCUGCCAUUCCCUCUCCUCAGCAUGAGCGGCAGGCACACAGCCCCAGCCCCACCUUGCCCUGGCCAGCUCCCAAGGCCCAGCGUUCCCAGGACGGAGGGAGGACCAGCCCAGAGAGCUCUGGCCAUUUCCACACUUGGCCCCCCAGCGCCAGACCGGCAGGGAAGGGACAGGGAGAGGCCUGUCCAGUUGCUCUGAGAUAGGACAGGCUCGGAGCCACCUCUGCCCAUGGGGCAUUCUGUCCCAGUGCUGUCCCGGAGGCCGUCUGCUGUGUGCCAGUCCCCAAGCCCUCUUUUGAGCGGCCACAAUGAAGGUAACCAGGUGACUCAUUUUAGGGACAGAAACAUUCCUGGAACAGAAUGGGGAACCGGUGUCAGGGGCCUCCGGACUCGCUGGUGGGGCUGGUGGCGGCCCCAGGCCACAUGAAUGCAGCACAGGCCUGCUUGGGAGCUGCUGCGGCAGAGGAUGACCAAUUUUCUUUCCUUAGAAAAGGAGAACAUGAACGCUUCUGAUCCCACUCAUGGCUCCAGCCAAAGCUCGGUUUUGUUCCACAAAAGCAAGCGCAGUGCUGAGGAGGGCAGACAGUGGCCACGCCCGCUGAGGAACCAAAGCCCAGCUGCCUCCCUCUGCUCCCCUAAGGGGAGCCUAUUCUCACUGCUGUCUUUGAUUCUGUAUUUGGUAUUUUGAUUCUGGAAUCCAUUUAUCACAAGCCCAGACUCAUGGCCAAAGUAGUUUACAUCUCCCCUGUAACACUGAACCGCCCCCAGCUGCCCUGACAUGAUCUCAUGCCCCCAUGCCAACACCUCCCUGCCCUACCUCAACCCAGGCUGGGUGCCAUGAACUGGGACAGCACCCAGCCUGCCAGGAGGACUCAAUAAGCCCAUCCUCAGCUGCUCACACUGCCCUGUCUGGCCUGUAGGGCAGAAACCCCUGUCUCAGACCUGGGCCUGGAUCAGACGGCCACCACCAACCUCCACCAUCUCAGACCUGGGUCAGACCACCCCCCACCACCAGCCUCCACCAUCUCAGACAUGGAUCAGACCACCCCCCACCACCAGCCUCCACCAUCUCAGACAUGGAUCAGAUCACCCCCCACCACCAACCUCCACCAUCUCAGACCUGAAUCAGAUCACCCCCCACCACCAACCUCCACCAUCUCAGACCUGGAUCACACCACCCCCCACCACCAACCUUCAUCAUCUCAGACCCGGAUCACACCACCCCCCACCACCAACCUCUACCAUCUCAGACCUGAAUCAGAUCACCCCCCACCACCAACCUCUACCAUCUCAACCCAGAUCAGACCACCCCCCACCACCAACCUCCACCAUCUCAGACCUGGAUCACACCACCCCCCAUCACCAACCUCCACCAUCUCAGACCCAGAUCACACCACCCCCCACCACCAACCUCCACCAUCUUAAUCCAGAUCACACCACCCUCACUACCAACCUCCACCAUCUCAGACCAGGAUCGGACCAACCCCCACCACCAACCUCCACCAUCUCAGACCCAGAUCACACCACCCCCCACCACCAACCUCCACCAUCUCAGACCUGGAUCGGACCACCCCCACCAACAACCUGCGUCUGCACCUUCUCUGUGCUUCCCCUUUGCCUCAGAGGGUAGCCUCCUUGAAGGCAGGGCCCUGCAUAGCUACAUGAAGAGGCCAAUGGCCCCAGUGUCCCUCAGGCACCAGCACGGACCUGGGGGCCUUGCUCUAGUGAGGGUGGUGGGUGCCUGCUUACCUCAGCCCACUGCUUGGCCCGGAUCCGCAUCUGGCUGUAGUUCCGUUCCUCAGAGUACAGGGCACCCAUGAAGGCCCCAAUGGACGUGCCUCCCACCAUGUCCACGGGGAUUCCACACUCUGCCAAGGCCUUGAGAAUGCCCACCUGGGCACAGCCUCUGCACCAGCCAGGGACAUAGAGCGACGAGUGAGCACCAGGCCCAGGCUGUGCCCUGCAGACGCCUCAGAGGCAGCCACCUGCGAGCAUCUGCUCAUCCCCAGUUCCCAACUCCUCCAAGCAGAGAUGCUGACUCAAAAAGGGAUUCCAGGUGCAAUGAGCUCAAACCUGUAAUCUCAGCACUUUGGGAGGCCGAGGCAGGCAGAUCACUUGAAGCUAAGAGUUCAAAGCCAGCCUGGCCAACAGGGCGAAACCCCGUCUCUACUAAAAAUACAAACAUUAGCUGGGCAUGGUGGUGGGCACCUGUAAUCCCAUCUACUCAGGAGGCUGAGGCAGAAGAAUUACUUGAACCUGGGAGAGGGAGGUUGUAGUGAGUCGAGAUCGUACCACUGCACUCUAGCCCAUGUGACAGAGUGAGACUCUGUCUCAAAAUAAAUAAAAUCUCUCUUUCUGGAGGUACUGAGGGAUGUGAGGCUGGGAUGGGGAGGAGGAUGUCCUGAGAGAUGCCUGGCAUUGGCCUUUUCUACCCACAAACACAGCUGCCUCCAGCAAGGUGUCUGAGAGGUGGUGGGAGAACUGGAGUUGAGGGGCCCUGGAAGGGAGGAGCAUCAUGAGGGGCACCACCCCAGGAGUCAGGUAAGCUGGGGUGGUCAGGUAGACCAGCACCCAUGAGAUCAGGGAGCACCCCUGAGACCAGGGAGCACAGCACCCCCAAGACCAGGCAGCCAGCACCCAGGGCCUCAAAUCACUGCUGCCACUUUCAUACAGAAUGUCCACUACUCAACCAAAGGUUACCAGUCAUAUGAGGAGAAAAGCCUCAUACAGGCUCUUCUUUUGGGACCAUCGUGAAAAGAAAAAACAGACAACAAAAGUGGACCCAGAGUGCCCCCCGGUAAGAGACACAGACUUUUACAUUGACUGUGCUUAAAGUGUGUGAGGAGCCGAGCAGACAAGGGAAGACCACCCAGCCCUCAGGAGGGAACUCGGACAUGAGCCACAGCAGGGAGGCUCCUGGAUACAUUUGCUAUGGUUUGGCUGUGUCCGCCACACAUACAUGUUGAAUUUUAAUCCCCAGUAUUGGAGGAGGGACCUGGUGGGAGGUAACUGGAUCAUGGGGGCAGAUUUGAGGUGGGAAGACUGUUUGAACGCGGGAAAUCAAGGCCGCACUGAGCUGAGGUCACACCACUGCACUCCAACCUGGACUGCAGUGAGACCCUGCCUAAAGCAAGUUCUGGAAAUGGACAGUGGCAAUGUUUGCACAACACUGUAACAGCGUUGCCCAAUGAAUUAUAUUAAUAUCAUUAACAUAUCAAUACUUAAUUGAAUACUCAAAAACAGUUAAAAUGGUAAAUUUUAUGUUGUAUGUAUUUUAACAUAAUAAAAAAGAACCAUAUGUAAUACUGCUGCAAAAUAUUAAAUACUCAGGUAUAAACCUUAAAAACAAGUUCAAAGAAUUAAAAACAAGAGUGUUAAUUCUGGCAUAAAACCAAAUGGAAAUUCUAGAAGUGAAAAAUAUAACAAAUGAAAAACUCAGUGAGUAGGCUUAACAGCAGAACACAACAGCUGAAGAGAGAAAUGGUAAAAUAUAAGAUGGGUCAGAAGAAAAUAUUCAUUGAAUCAUGAAGCAUCAAAAGAAUAGAAUAUGUAAAAUAUUGUUUUACAAAAUAUGUAAAAGAGAUACAGAAACAUGGGUUCUGGCACCAAACUCUAAUUUAUGUGCGAUCUGAGCCACAGAAAGAAGACGGGGCGGGAAGCCGUAUCUGAAGAGACGGGGUGGCAUUUUUUAGAACUGAUGACAGACAUCAAGCCUCAGAAUCAGGAAGCAUUAUAAAUCCUAAGCAUAAAUCAAAAGAAAACCAUUCCCAUGUUGUCAAAAACCCAAGGCAAAAAAAAAAAAAAAAAAAUCUUUAAGCCAGCCUGAGAAAAUAAAAGACACAUUACCUUCACUUUUCUGUCCUCUGAGUGGUUGUGAGAGACAGCAUAUAUUUACUCUGUUUCUUUAGAGACAAUGUCUGCUUGUCUAAAUGUUAGGGAAAAAAGAAUAAUCUAAAUAAAAGAGAGUAAAAUUAAGCAAAUAACAAAGAUAAGAGCAGAUCUUAAAGAGCCAAAAAAUAAACCUACAAUAGAGAAGAUGGACAAAGAUGAAAGCUGGCAUUGGACGGGCCAAUUCAAUGGGCAGCCCUGGUGAGACUGACCAAGGAAAUGAAAGACAGUAACCACCAAGAAACGAAGGCAUCGGGAACAAAGAAGGGAACAUCGGUGCAGACACUUUAGUUAAAACACUGAACAACUUCAUUCCAUAAAUAGAAAAAUUCAGAUAAAAUGGGCACAUUUUUAGAAAAACAUAACUCACCAAAAUAAUGUAAGAAACAGAACAUCUGAGUAGUACUGGAACUCAGCACAGAUUAAAGAAAUUUAAUCUUUUAUUUAUUUCUUAUUUUUAUGUUUAGACAAGGUCUCA